This 805-nucleotide long non-coding RNA is filed under the name Homo sapiens (human). RNAcentral describes it as "HSALNT0168893". Lineage: Eukaryota; Metazoa; Chordata; Mammalia; Primates; Hominidae. The record is from RNAcentral.
CCGCGCCCCGCGCGCUGCGCCAGCCUCGCCAGCUGUCGGGCGGCCUUCAUUCCGGGAGGGGGCGGGCGAGGCGCCGCCUCGAGCCGUGGCGCUCAUUGGCUGCAGACCAGAGCCCCCCGGCGCCUCGGGCGCCGCUCCGGACGCUGAUUGGUGGGAACACGGGGAGGGGGCGUGUUCUCCGCGCAGCUGGGAGGAGUCUGGAAUGAAACAGAUGGAAACAGCCAGUCUGUGAACGUUUCUUCAGGUAUCCGGCAGAGACAGCUGGGAAGGGAAACUUAUUCCUUGGCAUCUGCACAAAGGCCUCCCUGGGGCUUGGUGCUCCCCAUCCCCGCCACACACAUACAGCAUGGAUUUGAUUCUCCUGGGCCAGUGAGAAGAGCAACGCCAAGAUGUAAUUAAAGAUUUUGAGAUGAAGUGGUCAUCCUGAUUAUCCAAGUGAGCCUGAAAUCCAAUGACACAUGUCCUGAUAAAGGACACACAGAGGAAAAGACAGAAACAUGGAUGAAAAGGCAAAGUGAAGACAGAGCAAAGCCGUCCAAGCCAAGGAAUGCUGAUGGCACUAGAAGCUGGAAGAGGCAAGAAAGGAGCCUCUCCUAGGGCCUUCAGAGGGAGCGUGGCCCUGCUGACACUGCCGACACCUGGAUUUCGACUUCUGGCCUCCAGAACUGAAGGACCAUGUAAGAACAUAGCAAGAAGGCAGCCAUCUGCAGACCAGGAAGAGAGACCCCACCACAACCCAACCAUACCAGCACCCUGAUCUUGGGUUUCCAUAACUAUGAAAAAAUAAACUUCUGUUGUUUAAGCU